GAACCGCUAAAAUUUCCUGGGUGUGUGCCGGUUCACGGAAGAGAUCUCAUUGAGCCGGUUCAAAACAGAAAAGAUGAUGCUUACAGAUGGGUUCUUCACAUUUGCAAGCAAUACCCAUUGGCUGCUGGGAUCCUUGUUAAUAGUUUUAUAGAUCUGGAAGCAGGUGCUUUUAAGGCUUUAAUGGAGGAUAAAACCGGUACGCCCCCCAUAUACCCGGUUGGACCACUCACACGAACCGAUUCAACCAGUGAGGUUGCUGGUGAAUUUGAGUGCUUGAGGUGGUUGGAUAAGCAACCAAAUGGGUCAGUGCUCUUUGUCUCCUUUGGAAGUGGCGGGACCCUUUCUCAUGAUCAGUUGAUCGAAUUAGCCCUGGGUUUAGAGAUGAGUGGUCAGAGAUUUCUCUGGGUUGUUAAGAGCCCAGACGAUACAUCUGCAAAUGCAACUUACUUUGGUGUAGAAAAAGCUACUGAUCCUUUUGAUUUUUUACCAAAGGGAUUCUUGGAUAGGACCAAGGGGUUGGGUAUGGUGGUGCCCAAUUGGGCUCCUCAGAUGCAAGUCUUGAGCCACUGGUCAACAGGAGCGUUCUUGAGCCAUUGUGGGUGGAACUCUAGUUUGGAAAGCAUUGUAAAUGGAGUGCCCUUAAUUGCGUGGCCACUUUAUGCAGAGCAAAAAAUGAAUUGUGUGUUACUAGUUGAGGAUUUGAAGGUAGCAUUGAGGGUGAAAGUGAAUGACAAUGGGCUCGUGGGUAGAGAAGAUAUUGCAAAUUAUGCAAGGACCAUUCUUCAAGAGGAGGAAGGGAAAUUACUUGGGAAAAGGAUGAAAGAACUUAAAAAUGCUGCUGUAAAGGUUUUAAGCCAGGAUGGAUCUUCUACAAAGUCACUAGCCUAUGUAGCCAACAUAUGGAAGAACCAAAGAAAGUAACAUGUAUGUAUAAAUUGUUCUGCAUUUCUUUGCUUCAGUAAUUGGUUGUGUUCACGUAACUAGCUUAGGGUUCUUUAGGCUUCUUUUCAAGCAGCAAGUAGUUUGUACUUUGUAAAGCCUGAUGCUUUGAGUCUUGGCUACCGUUAGUUUUCGAUU
This 1077-nucleotide unclassified non-coding RNA is filed under the name Hevea brasiliensis (rubber tree). The record is from RNAcentral. Lineage: Eukaryota; Viridiplantae; Streptophyta; Magnoliopsida; Malpighiales; Euphorbiaceae.